Molecule: non-coding RNA, 1038 nt
Organism: Arvicanthis niloticus (Nile rat)
Lineage: Eukaryota; Metazoa; Chordata; Mammalia; Rodentia; Muridae
Source: RefSeq, a predicted model, not a curated record
AUGCCAUGGAUAGUAAUUCCUCUGAUGGAUCCAGGCAAAGUUGUGUAUGAAAGAUGUGAGAUGCUGCGGCCCACCCUGUUCCGGCUUGCAAGCGACACCACUGAUGAUGACGAUGCACUAGAGGAGAUUCCUCAAGCAAAUGACCUUCUCACACAUGGGUUUCUGCUGUACAAACAGGUGGUGGAGGGCUGAGUCAAUGCUUGGAAUGCAGUGGGAGCCAUUCCUGGCCCCAGAGUAUUCCCGAAUCCAGAACCCUGUGGGAAGAACUGCCCCCUCAUUGACCUGGAGACGCCAUUUUUGCUUCAUCAGGACCUGGCAGCCUUAGGGAUCAACGAUGUUCCCACUAGGAACCAGGUUGUUAUUCCAAGUUGCUGUAAGGACAAGAAGCAGCCAGGUGGCAUCACACUCCUGGGGGGUGGAAUCCAGAGUCUUUCUGCAGACCGGAACUUGCUGGAUCUCUUCUCGCCACAGCCAUAUCCAGGACCACUGAAUUAUGUUCCACAAAAAACCAUCCCGAAGGAGAUGCCAUCAGGUACCAAGGCCUCUCCAGGUUGGUCCUGGGAGGCUGGGCCAUUGGCUUCUUCCACAGCCUCACAGAAUACACCUCUGGCUCACGUGUUUGUCCCUUUGGAGUCUGUGAAACCCAGCAGCCUGCUGCCUGUCAUCGUGAAUGAUGGGAACGGCUUCCAAAUUCUGCUGCACUUCUCCCAGACUGGGACCCCUGGCCACCCGGAUGUCCAGGUGCUGUUGUUGACCAUGAUGAGCACUGCCACCCAGCCUGUCUGGGAUGUCAUGUUUCAGGUGGCCGUCCCAAAGUCAAUGCGGGUGAAGCUGCAGCCGGCAUCCAGUUCCAAGCUCCCUGUAUUCAGUCCUUUGAUGCCUCCAGCCGUGAUAUCUCAGGUGCUGUUGCUUGACAACCCACACAAAGAACCUAUCCAGUUGUGAUAUGAGCUGACUUUCAACCAGGGUGGGCAGCCGUUCAGUAAAGUAGGAAAGGUGAAAGAUUUUCCAGACCUGGCUUUCUUGAGCACUGCCUGA